This 78-nucleotide transfer RNA is filed under the name bacterium UBP9_UBA11836. RNAcentral's name for it is "tRNA-Pro". It matches the Rfam family "tRNA". From Rfam's summary of the family: Transfer RNA (tRNA) molecules are approximately 80 nucleotides in length. Their secondary structure includes four short double-helical elements and three loops (D, anti-codon, and T loops). RNAcentral also lists the same sequence under 1 other name. The record is from RNAcentral.
CGGAGCGUAGCGCAGCCUGGAUAGCGCACUUGCUUUGGGAGCAAGGGGUCGCCGGUUCGAAUCCGGCCGCUCCGACCA